Transfer RNA from Smittium mucronatum, 81 nucleotides. It matches the Rfam family "tRNA". Rfam says of the family: Transfer RNA (tRNA) molecules are approximately 80 nucleotides in length. The record is from Rfam. NCBI's taxonomy places the organism in Eukaryota, Fungi, Kickxellomycota, Harpellomycetes, Harpellales, Legeriomycetaceae.
CCGAAUAUAGCUCAGCGGUAGAGCGGGAGACUGUAGUAAAUUGUUAUCUCUAGGUCCCUGGUUCAAAUCCGGGUGUUCGGA